AUUCUCUUUGGGAGGGAAUAUGCU
This 24-nucleotide non-coding RNA is filed under the name Arabidopsis thaliana (thale cress). The record is from RNAcentral. Lineage: Eukaryota; Viridiplantae; Streptophyta; Magnoliopsida; Brassicales; Brassicaceae.